Molecule: ribosomal RNA, 452 nt
Filed under: Malletia johnsoni
Lineage: Eukaryota; Metazoa; Mollusca; Bivalvia; Nuculanida sp.; Malletiidae
Description: eukaryotic LSU rRNA
Rfam family: Eukaryotic large subunit ribosomal RNA
Source: RNAcentral
AAGGGUUCCAUGUGAACAGCAGUUGAACAUGGGUCAGUCGGUCCUAAGAGAUAGGAGAACUCCGUUCUGAAACGGGGGCAAUGCCGCCUGAAUUGCAAACACGCAAAAAACGCAUGAUGCCCGUCCAUCAUCGAAAGGGAAUCGGGUUAAUAUUCCCGAACCCGGACACGGAGAUUGACCCUCGCGGGUCAUGUGCGGUAACGCAAACGAACUGGGAGACGUCGGCGGGAGUCCCGGGAAGAGUUCUCUUUUCUUUGUAAGGAACGGACUCCCUGGAAUCGGCUUGCCCGGAGAUAGGGACGUUGUUUCCGUAAAGCACCGCGGCUCUUGCGGUGUCCGGUGCACUCCCGUCGGCCCUUGAAAAUCCCAGGGAGACAGUGUGAUUUUCGUGCCGGACCGUACCCAUAUCCGCAGCAGGUCUCCAAGGUGCACAGCCUCUAGUCGAUAGAACA